RNAcentral lists this ribosomal RNA (472 nucleotides) under uncultured bacterium. Its description in RNAcentral is "bacterial SSU rRNA". It matches the Rfam family "Bacterial small subunit ribosomal RNA", at positions 355 to 825 of the family's 1533-position model. The record is from RNAcentral.
UGGGGAAUUUUGGACAAUGGGGGAAACCCUGAUCCAGCCAUGCCGCGUGUGUGAAGAAGGCCUUCGGGUUGUAAAGCACUUUCGGACGGAACGAAAUCGCACGGGUGAAUAUCCCGUGUGGAUGACGGUACCGUAAGAAGAAGCACCGGCUAACUACGUGCCAGCAGCCGCGGUAAUACGUAGGGUGCGAGCGUUAAUCGGAAUUACUGGGCGUAAAGUGUGCGCAGGCGGCUUCGCAAGUCGAGUGUGAAAUCCCCGGGCUUAACUUGGGAACGGCGCUCGAAACUACGGAGCUAGAGUAUGGCAGAGGGAGGCGGAAUUCCACGUGUAGCGGUGAAAUGCGUAGAGAUGUGGAGGAACACCAAUGGCGAAGGCAGCCUCCUGGGCCAAUACUGACGCUCAUGCACGAAAGCGUGGGGAGCAAACAGGAUUAGAUACCCCUGUAGUCCCUGAGCGGGCUGGCAAGGCGCAU